GACGGACGCUGGCGGCGUGCUUAACACAUGCAAGUCGAACGGAAAGGCCCUGCUUUUGUGGGGUGCUCGAGUGGCGAACGGGUGAGUAACACGUGAGUAACCUGCCCUUGACUUUGGGAUAACUUCAGGAAACUGGGGCUAAUACCGGAUAGGAGCUCCUGUUGCAUGGUGGGGGUUGGAAAGUUUCGGCGGUUGGGGCUGGACUCGCGGCUUAUCAGCUUGUUGGUGGGGUAGUGGCUUACCAAGGCUUUGACGGGUAGCCGGCCUGAGAGGGUGACCGGCCACAUUGGGACUGAGAUACGGCCCAGACUCCUACGGGAGGCAGCAGUGGGGAAUAUUGCACAAUGGGCGGAAGCCUGAUGCAGCAACGCCGCGUGCGGGAUGACGGCCUUCGGGUUGUAAACCGCUUUCGCCUGUGACGAAGCGUGAGUGACGGUAAUGGGUAAAGAAGCACCGGCUAACUACGUG
RNAcentral lists this ribosomal RNA (468 nucleotides) under uncultured bacterium. RNAcentral's name for it is "partial 16S ribosomal RNA". It matches the Rfam family "Bacterial small subunit ribosomal RNA", at positions 28 to 507 of the family's 1533-position model. The record is from RNAcentral.